Molecule: ribosomal RNA, 414 nt
Filed under: Polymerus cognatus
Lineage: Eukaryota; Metazoa; Arthropoda; Insecta; Hemiptera; Miridae
Description: partial 16S ribosomal RNA
Rfam family: Bacterial large subunit ribosomal RNA (bases 288-414)
Source: RNAcentral
CUCUUUUAAUUGAGGACUAGUAUGAACGGUUGGAUGAAAAAUAUACUUUCUUUAUUUUAUAUAAAUAAUUUUAUUUUUUAGUUAAAAAGCUGAGAUGUUUUUAGAGGACGAGAAGACCCUAUAGAACUUUAUUAUAAUUUAUAUAAUAAUAAUAUAUUUUUAAUUUUUGUUAUAGGAGUUAUAAUUUCAUUGGGGUGAUGGAAAAAAUUUUAUAACUUUUUCUUUUAAAAUCAUAAUAAAUGUAUAUAUGAUCUUUUUUUAAAAAAAUAAGUCUAAGUUACCUUAGGGAUAACAGCGUUAUUUUCUUGGAGAGUUCUUAUCGAUAAGAAAGUUUGCGACCUCGAUGUUGGAUUAAAGAUAGUUUUAGGGGUAAAAAAUUAAAAUCUUGGUCUGUUCGACCAUUAAAUCUUUACA